UAGGGAAUCUUCCGCAAUGGACGAAAGUCUGACGGAGCAACGCCGCGUGAGUGAUGAAGGUUUUCGGAUUGUAAAGCUCUGUUGUUAGGGAAGAACAAGUACCGUUCGAAUAGGGCGGUACCUUGACGGUACCUAACCAGAACGCCACGGCUAACUACGUGCCAGCAGACGCGGUAAUACGUAGGUGGCAAGCGUUGUCCGGAAUUAUUGGGCGUAAAGGGCUCGCAGGCGGUUUCUUAAGUCUGAUGUGAAAGCCCCCGGCUCAACCGGGGAGGGUCAUUGGAAACUGGGGAACUUGAGUGCAGAAGAGUAGAGUGGAAUUCCACGUGUAGCGGUGAAAUGCGUAGAGAUGUGGAGGAACACCAGUGGCGAAGGCGACUCUCUGGUCUGUAACUGACGCUUAGGAGCGAAAGCGUGGGGAGCGAACA
This 428-nucleotide ribosomal RNA is filed under the name uncultured prokaryote. RNAcentral's name for it is "bacterial SSU rRNA". It matches the Rfam family "Bacterial small subunit ribosomal RNA", at positions 355 to 774 of the family's 1533-position model. The record is from RNAcentral.